GAUGAACGCUGACAGAAUGCUUAACACAUGCAAGUCUUUGGCGAAGCUGUGCUUGCACAGCCUAGCCAAGGCGGACGGGUGAGUAACGCGUAAGGAACUUGCCCUGCAGUCAGGGAUAACAGACGGAAACGACUGAUAAGACCUGGUAAAGUCAGGCGGACUCAUGUCCAGCCUGAUGAAAAGAGAUGCUGCAGGAGAGCCUUGCGUCCUAUUAGCUUGUUGGUGGGGUAACGGCCCACCAAGGCGAUGAUAGGUAGCCGGCCUGAGAGGGUGGACGGCCACAAGGGGAGUGAGAUACGGCACUUACUCCUACGGGAGGCCGCAGUGGGGAAUAUUGGACAAUGGGGGCAACCCUGAUCCAGCAAUUCUGUGUGCACGAUGAAGGUUUUCGGAUUGUAAAGUGCUUUCAGCAGGGAAGAAAAAAAUGACGGUACCUGCAGAAGAAGCGACGGCUAAAUACGUG
Molecule: ribosomal RNA, 463 nt
Filed under: uncultured bacterium
Lineage: Bacteria
Description: partial 16S ribosomal RNA
Rfam family: Bacterial small subunit ribosomal RNA
Source: RNAcentral